This is a long non-coding RNA of Ananas comosus (pineapple), 339 nucleotides long. RefSeq lists it as uncharacterized. The transcript has 3 exons. NCBI's taxonomy places the organism in Eukaryota, Viridiplantae, Streptophyta, Magnoliopsida, Poales, Bromeliaceae. The record is from RefSeq and is a predicted model, not a curated record.
UCCUCAACUAUACAUUUCUUCUCCGAGAAGAGGAGCACCCAUUCCAUCCAAGCGCUCCGCCACCUCCUCUAUCUUCUUCGAGAAGCUUCUUCGAGAACUCUCUCUCUCUCAAACACACACCAAAAAGCAGAGGAGUUUGAGGAGGAGGAGAUCGAUCGACCAUGUUUUACUCGGAAAGCUCCUCUCGGCCAAAUAUGGAUGGCGGCUACACUGCACGCGAAGAUCAAUCGGAGGAAGCUCGAUAAGCUCGACAUUAUCAAGAUAUGAUCUGGUUGUAGUGAGGAGAUCCUGAAUCCGACAGUUCCGAUGGCUUUACGGCUCUCUGAAAUCUAAUGGGUG